This 323-nucleotide ribosomal RNA is filed under the name uncultured Pseudomonadota bacterium. Its description in RNAcentral is "bacterial SSU rRNA". It matches the Rfam family "Bacterial small subunit ribosomal RNA", at positions 30 to 351 of the family's 1533-position model. The record is from RNAcentral. Lineage: Bacteria; Pseudomonadati; Pseudomonadota.
AUUGAACGCUGGCGGCAUGCCUUACACAUGCAAGUCGAACGGCAGCACGGGAGCAAUCCUGGUGGCGAGUGGCGAACGGGUGAGUAAUAUAUCGGAACGUGCCCAGUCGUGGGGGAUAACGCAGCGAAAGCUGUGCUAAUACCGCAUACGAUCUCUGGAUGAAAGCGGGGGACUCGCAAGAGCCUCGCGCGAUUGGAGCGGCCGAUAUCAGAUUAGCUAGUUGGCGGGGUAAAAGCCCACCAAGGCGACGAUCUGUAGCUGGUCUGAGAGGACGACCAGCCACACUGGAACUGAGACACGGUCCAGACUCCUACGGGAGGCAG